Zonotrichia leucophrys gambelii is the source of this 604-nucleotide long non-coding RNA. RefSeq lists it as uncharacterized. Lineage: Eukaryota; Metazoa; Chordata; Aves; Passeriformes; Passerellidae. The transcript has 2 exons. The record is from RefSeq and is a predicted model, not a curated record.
GGCAGCUCCCCCAGCUCCUCUCGUGCUUGCUGCUGUCCUUGGGCUGCUGGAGCUGCCUGGGCUCUGUCCUGGGCUGGGUGCCCCUGGCACCCAACUCCUUGCACCCACACAGGGGCAGGCCUGGCUGAGCAGUACCCAGGAGGGGCUCCCACGUUGUUGAUUUCUGAACACCAGCUCAGCCCAAGGAUGAUGGCCACGGUCUGUGGCUGCCAGAGCUGUUGCACCAGAGGAAUAAUUAGUUUCUCUCUGGAGCACAGCUUUAUCCUCCCUUCAGCCCCUGGACCUGCUGAAGUACAGCAGCUCUCCCUCCUCUCCAGUCACCUCCGUGCCAUGAGAGAGAGAAAAGGCCGAGCUCUACCCUGCUUUGAAAGGACUGAUGAAUAUGCAAACUCUCAGGGCUGAAAUAUUGCUUAUCCACGUCACGGGGUGUGCAUGGAGCUCUGCUUGUGCUGCUGCUGAGGAUGUGGACACCACCAGCGUGCAGCUGAGCAGCUUAGGGAAGAUUUAACUCUUAUUUCUAUUCUCGACACAGAAUCAUUAGUAAGGUUAUGGCUGUGUUGGGGGCUUUUCCCAGUGCCCUCCCCCUGCUGUGGCAGGGCCUGGG